RNAcentral lists this ribosomal RNA (467 nucleotides) under uncultured bacterium. RNAcentral describes it as "partial 16S ribosomal RNA". It matches the Rfam family "Bacterial small subunit ribosomal RNA", at positions 29 to 507 of the family's 1533-position model. The record is from RNAcentral.
ACGCACGCUGGCGGCGUGCUUAACACAUGCCAGUCGCACGGAAAGGCCCUGCUUUUGUGGGGUGCUCGAGUGGCGAACGGGUGAGUAACACGUGAGUAACCUGCCCUUGACUUUGGGAUAACUUCAGGAAACUGGGGCUAAUACCGGAUAGGAGCUCCUGCUGCAUGGUGGGGGUUGGAAAGUUUCGGCGGUUGGGGAUGGACUCGCGGCUUAUCAGCUUGUUGGUGGGGUAGUGGCUUACCAAGGCUUUGACGGGUAGCCGGCCUGAGGGGGUGACCGGCCACAUUGGGACUGAGAUACGGCCCAGACUCCUACGGGAGGCAGCAGUGGGGAAUAUUGCACAAUGGGCGGAAGCCUGAUGCAGCAACGCCGCGUGCGGGAUGACGGCCUUCGGGUUGUAAACCGCUUUCGCCUGUGACGAAGCGUGAGUGACGGUAAUGGGUAAAGAAGCACCGGCUAACUACGUG